Molecule: ribosomal RNA, 537 nt
Filed under: uncultured bacterium
Lineage: Bacteria
Description: bacterial SSU rRNA
Rfam family: Bacterial small subunit ribosomal RNA
Source: RNAcentral
AGAGUUUGAUCCUGGCUCAGGAUGAACGCUAGCGGCAGGCCUAACACAUGCAAGUCGAGGGGUAACAGAGAGAAGCUUGCUUUUCUGCUGACGACCGGCGCACGGGUGCGUAACGCGUAUACAAUCUGCCUUAUACAGAGGGAUAGCCUUUAGAAAUGAAGAUUAAUACCUUAUAGUCUAUUUUUAUAGCAUUAUAUAAAUAGUAAAGCUUCGGUGGUAUAAGAUGAGUAUGCGUCCUAUUAGUUAGUUGGUAAGGUAACGGCUUACCAAGACAACGAUAGGUAGGGGCCCUGAGAGGGGGAUCCCCCACACUGGUACUGAGACACGGACCAGACUCCUACGGGAGGCAGCAGUGAGGAAUAUUGGACAAUGGAGGCAACUCUGAUCCAGCCAUGCCGCGUGCAGGAUGACGGCCCUAUGGGUUGUAAACUGCUUUUAUAUAGGAAGAAACCUUUUCACGUGUGAGAAGCUGACGGUACUAUAAGAAUAAGGACCGGCUAACUCCGUGCCAGCAGCCGCGGUAAUAAGGGCGAAUUC